RNAcentral lists this ribosomal RNA (569 nucleotides) under uncultured bacterium. RNAcentral describes it as "partial 16S ribosomal RNA". It matches the Rfam family "Bacterial small subunit ribosomal RNA", at positions 355 to 914 of the family's 1533-position model. The record is from RNAcentral.
UGGGGAAUAUUGCACAAUGGGCGCAAGCCUGAUGCAGCCAUGCCGCGUGUGUGAAGAAGGCCUUCGGGUUGUAAAGCACUUUCAGCGAGGAGGAAGGUGGUGAGCUUAAUACGCUCAUCAAUUGACGUUACUCGCAGAAGAAGCACCGGCUAACUCCGUGCCAGCAGCCGCGGUAAUACGGAGGGUGCAAGCGUUAAUCGGAAUUACUGGGCGUAAAGCGCACGCAGGCGGUUUGUUAAGUCAGAUGUGAAAUCCCCGGGCUCAACCUGGGAACUGCAUUUGAAACUGGCAAGCUAGAGUCUCGUAGAGGGGGGUAGAAUUCCAGGUGUAGCGGUGAAAUGCGUAGAGAUCUGGAGGAAUACCGGUGGCGAAGGCGGCCCCCUGGACGAAGACUGACGCUCAGGUGCGAAAGCGUGGGGCAGCAAACAGGAUUAGAUACCCUGGUAGUCCACGCUGUAAACGAUGUCGAUUUUGGAGGUUGUGCCCUUGAGGCGUGGCUUCCGGAGCUAACGCGUUAAAUCGACCGCCUGGGGAGUACGGCCGCAAGGUUAAAACUCAAAUGAAUUGAC